This 107-nucleotide small RNA is filed under the name Sinorhizobium meliloti 2011. Its description in RNAcentral is "putative ncRNA". Lineage: Bacteria; Pseudomonadati; Pseudomonadota; Alphaproteobacteria; Hyphomicrobiales; Rhizobiaceae. The record is from RNAcentral.
GCAGACCGUUUCGAUCAUCCGGAUGUUGAGUUCCCGGCUGACGAUAGCGGCCGGAACAAGGCCGCCGCGCGUGAUGCAGACCAUCGCGCGCCAUUCCUGCCCGUUGU